Molecule: transfer RNA, 67 nt
Filed under: Caenis pycnacantha
Lineage: Eukaryota; Metazoa; Arthropoda; Insecta; Ephemeroptera; Caenidae
Description: tRNA-Ile
Source: RNAcentral
AAUGAAGUGCCUGAUUAAAGGAUUAUCUUGAUAGGAUAAAUAAAGUAAAUUCAUUUUACCUUCAUUA